This 2014-nucleotide long non-coding RNA is filed under the name Equus caballus (horse). Its description in RNAcentral is "lncRNA (ENSECAG00000046494.1)". The record is from RNAcentral. Lineage: Eukaryota; Metazoa; Chordata; Mammalia; Perissodactyla; Equidae.
GUUUGCUAUUUUAUUUUCCGCUCCCAUUAUUCAUCCAGCCCCUCAAUACGUAUUUUUCUUACACAUGAACCCAGUACUAAAAAUACACAUCAGUUGAAGGUUCUGCCAAAAUACUUAGUGAAUGAGUAAUCCAACUUGCCUGAGACCAAAAGAAAUGUGGAGGUCCUGAAAUAAAUCCCUUUGAAAUGAAUGAACCAAUUUGUCUGGAACCUGACUUCAUGAAGACAUGGCAAGCGUGUGACUAUGUGGGAUAUAAAGUCACUGGGUCAGUCCAACACUGUGUGUACCUCAUGUCAGCCUUUAGGAUUUGACAUCUUUCCCCAAAUGCUACAAGUUCAGCCAGUGUUCUUAUGCACAGCACAAGCAUACUGUAACCCUGUUUUCUUUUUUAAAUUUCUUCAUAGCUCUAAUCUUUAUCUAGAAGAUUGUGUUUAUUUGUUUACUUCCUUAUGGUCUAUAUCCUCCCUCUGGCCUGUAACUCCAUAGAGGAAGAGUGGACUAUUGUGUGCUGUUUCCCACUGUGUCCCCAGCAAUAAAUCAGUGCCUCGCACAGGGUUUGAGCCACUGCUAGCACCUGAGGAUUCAACAGUGAUCCCCAUAAGCAUAGUCCCUGCCUUCAAGAAGCUUGUGAUUGGAUGGAGGAGAGAGACAAUAAACAGAUGAAGAAACUUGAGAUGUGGCUUUUCCAACAUCCAGAAGUGGUCCAUUUUGACUCCAAGUUCAAGUUCUUAGCUGCUACUGUGCUGUCCCCUUAGAAGAUAAAUCGUCUAGCUGCAUCUGAUUGCAUUAUCAUAUCAAAUCCUUUCUAUUGUGCAAAGAACCAAUUCUCCAAAUUGAGUGUCUUAAUACCACUCUCAGUCCACAAUCUAUAAAGCACACCUUUGAACUGUUGUAUACAUUUUCUUUACAAUGAACAAACAGAAAAAACAUUGAACUUUUCAUUCAACUGAUUGAAACAUUGACCUUCACAUGUUGCCUAACAUAACAAAUGAAGUUACACAAUCAUUUUAUAGCUCCAGUCCUAUCUCUGCUAUUAUAACCUCCAGCCUUUACAGGACUGUCCUGAUGUAAAACCCACAGGUCCUCUGGACCUCACACAGUUCUACAUUCACACAGCGCUCACCAUGUUUAUUAGGUACAUUCUCACCUGUCUCAGGGGUCCCAGGUGUCUUAGCUUCCCUGAAUGGAAAAAGACAUUCCUGCUUCAUUCUCUUUCUCUUUUUACAAAAACCACUACCCCCUCUGCCUACCUGCUCCUACGACCUCAUUCUUCUCAGGUUUGUGUGCUUCAAGAAGUGCAAAACUGGUGAACUGUGGUGAAAAUUCCACUGUUUUCCCAGAUCAGGUAGUGCCUACGACUUCACCGAGGGCUGAAGAAAAGGAUCAGCUUUAAAAGUCAGACCGUGUUCUCUUCUCUUCUCUGUUGUCUGCUUGGGCAUCCCCUGUUUUCUCACUAUCUGUAGACAGUGACUAGUCCUGAAAGUAAGGUUGUAGAAUGACCCACGCAAAGCUCUGCUUAGAAUAUCUGGAAUGGAAUCAGUUAUGUGUGAACUUCUGGUUUGCAAUCCAAUAACCCACUCUUCUUAAAUGUAUAUUUAUCCAAAACCACCCCUCCUCAGCACAGCAUUUACUGUAUCACUCAUGGGAUCACUCUCUCCCACUCACUGGGACUCAUUUGCCCAUCUGUAAAGUUAAAGGAGUAGAUUAAACCGUUUGUGACGUCACUUCCAGCUCUAAAGGUCUUUGAUUCUAAUCUAGGUUUCCAUUUUCCUACACUAGAGUUUCCUUCCUUCCAUCCAUUCAUCCACCCAUCCAUCCGCUUAUUCAUUCAUUCACAGAAAAAAAUGUAUAUAUGGAGUGCCUACUGUGUGCUAGAUAUUGUUCUAGGCAGAUUGAUUAAGUAAUAACUAGGACAGAUAACAUCUAUCCCCCAUGGGGGCAUAACCUUCUCUCUUACCUCUCCCCGCAAAUAAUUUGAAAGUGUAAAGAAAACCAGUGGUAGAGUUGUUCUAAC